Molecule: ribosomal RNA, 490 nt
Filed under: uncultured bacterium
Lineage: Bacteria
Description: partial 16S ribosomal RNA
Rfam family: Bacterial small subunit ribosomal RNA
Source: RNAcentral
AUUGAACGCUGGCGGCAGGCCUAACACAUGCAAGUCGAACGGUAACAGGAAGAAGCUUGCUUCUUUGCUGACGAGUGGCGGACGGGUGAGUAAUGUCUGGGAAACUGCCUGAUGGAGGGGGAUAACUACUGGAAACGGUAGCUAAUACCGCAUAAUGUCGCAAGACCAAAGAGGGGGACCUUCGGGCCUCUUGCCAUCGGAUGUGCCCAGAUGGGAUUAGCUAGUAGGUGGGGUAACGGCCCACCUAGGCGACGAUCCCUAGCUGGUCUGAGAGGAUGACCAGACACACUGGAACUGAGACACGGUCCAGACUCCUACGGGAGGCAGCAGUGGGGAAUAUUGCACAAUGGGCGCAAGCCUGAUGCAGCUAUGCCGCGUGUAUGAAGAAGGCCUUCGGGUUGUAAAGUACUUUCAGCGGGGAGGAAGGGAGUAAAGUUAAUACCUUUGCUCAUUGACGUUACCCGCAGAAGAAGCACCGGCUAACUCCGUG